This 21-nucleotide microRNA is filed under the name Cordylochernes scorpioides. The record is from RNAcentral. Lineage: Eukaryota; Metazoa; Arthropoda; Arachnida; Pseudoscorpiones; Chernetidae.
GAUGAAAAUGCUUGAACCUAA